Molecule: ribosomal RNA, 431 nt
Filed under: uncultured bacterium
Lineage: Bacteria
Description: partial 16S ribosomal RNA
Rfam family: Bacterial small subunit ribosomal RNA
Source: RNAcentral
AACGAACGCUGGCGGCAGGCCUAACACAUGCAAGUCGAGCGCCCCGCCCGGGGAGCGGCGGACGGGUGAGUAACGCGUGGGAACGUACCCUUUGCUACGGCCUAGCCUCGGGAAACUGGGAGUAUUACCGUAUGUGUCCUUAGGGCGAAAGAUUUCUCGGCAAGGGAUCGGCCCGCGUUGGAUUAGGUAGUUGGUGGGGUAAUGGCCUACCAAGCCGACGAUGCAUAGCUGGUUUGGGAGGAGGAUCAGCCACGCUGGGACUGAGCCACGGCCCAGACUCCGACGGGAGGCAGCAGUAGGGAAUCUUAGACAAGGAGCGCAAGCCUGAUCAAGCCGUGCCGCGGGAGCGAGGAAGGCCUUAGGGUUGUAAAGCUCUUUCAGGGGAGAAGAGAAUGACGGUACCCCCAGAAGAAGCCCCGGCUAACUCCGUG